Salvia miltiorrhiza (redroot sage) is the source of this 1838-nucleotide long non-coding RNA. RefSeq lists it as uncharacterized. The transcript has 4 exons. NCBI's taxonomy places the organism in Eukaryota, Viridiplantae, Streptophyta, Magnoliopsida, Lamiales, Lamiaceae. The record is from RefSeq and is a predicted model, not a curated record.
CAAAUCCAACAAAAAUUCAACUUUUAUAAUUCAAUCUGUAAAACCCAGCAGCAACCGACUUACUUGUUCCCUUCACAGUUCACCACAAAAAAAAAAAAAAAAACUCAAUCUGCUCUUUUCACUGCAGAAUUCCAUUGGUAAUUUUAAUAAUUUCUGCAAAGUUAUUUUAUUUCAGCAUCUCAAUUGUUUCUUCAUUCUCUGCUCAAAACCAAGAUUUCCAAAUUCAUAUAUGCAUACAUCAUCAAAUCUAUCAUUUAUAUUUAAUAUGAAAUCAAAUAGAAUUCAUAUCCAUAGUUUACAGAGAAAGAAAUUUUGAAAAUCUAGACUGAUAAAAGGGAGUUGGACUGAACUUUGGGGGAGGAGUUGGUGCAGAGGCGGUGGCGGGGAGAAGUAGGGGCGGCGUACGGCGAGAGGAAACAGGGGCAGCGGCACCGUGGUCUCUGCCGCUGCUGUGUAUUACCGGUCAGGGCGGAGGGAGAAGCGUUUGGGCUGUGCUGCUGUCCGUCGCGGUGGCGGUGGCGGUGGCGGCGCGGUCUCGGCUCUGCUGUGCUGUUCCGGUCGAAGGAGGAGGUGGCUGGGACGGCGAGGACAGGGGCAGGGGAGGAUGAAGGGAGAUAGGAAGAUAGGGAAGGAGAGUGAGGAGGUAGGAGCCGCCGGCCUCCGGCGGUGGCGGCCGUCCGGUGGCGCGGUGGUAGGAGGCCGAGAGGGAGAUAGAGGGGGGUGGAGAGAAGAGAGAGAGCGGCUGAGAGGGAAGAGGCGUGAGUUGUGAAUUUUAGUGAAUCUGCUAUGUGUUUGUGUCGUGGGAGUGUUGGGGUGUGUGUAAGUUUAAUUAGGGAUUGUUAGAUGGGCUUAGGAAUGGGCUUUAUUUUGGGUCUUAAUUUUAUUAAUUGAAUUGGGCUUCUAAUUUAGUUAAUUCUUUUAAGUAGUGAGCAUAAUUUAUUUAAGCCCAUAGUUACUCUUUUAAUUAUUAUUCCCAUUUCAGAUUUUCUAAAAAAAAACUUAUAUAAAUAAUUUUCUCAAGUUUAAUUAUAUUUAAAAUAUUUUAAUUAAGUCCUUAUAUUUUAUUAUUUGAAUUUAUCUGACUAGGUGCGGCGCGACUAGGACAUAACUGUUGAUCUGAAAUUAUUCAAGUUAUCUAUCAAAUCCAUAUUUUCAGGUGCGGCGCGACUAGGACAUAACUGUUGAUCUGAAAUUAUUCAAGUUAUCUAUCAAAUCCAUAUUUUCAGGUGCGGCGCGACUAGGACAUAACUGUUGAUCUGAAAUUAUUCAAGUUAUCUAUCAAAUCCAUAUUUUCAGGUGUGGGAUUUAUUUCAGUACAUGCACGUGGUUAAUAUUUGUCCAUUUUAAUAUUAUGUGUUUACCGUAUGUGUUGUAAAAAUAUUUAUCGCUAGGGGCCAGCAUAAUUGGUCCAGGACUUCACCGUCCUUGGUAUGCCACAAAGCGAUUUCAUGUUACAGGGUUGCAACCAUUAUAUUGUCGCCAGGGGCCCACAUAUAGGGUCCGGGACAUUAAAGUCCUUGGAUUGCCACAGUGCGUAUGGAAGUUAUGUUACGUUAUGAUAAUAUGUGUUACCAUUUUAUUAACAUGGACAAUUAUUGCAUGUUCCCACACUGAGUGUACCCUGUAUGCUCAUCCCAUAUUCAACAGUUUCAGGUGAUUGAUAUCGGAGGCGCGUGGAGAGUCGAAUGGGCGCGUCGAAUCUAUUUAAAGAUAAAUGUUUCCUAAAACAUAUUAUGUUAUUUCAUGUGAUAUCUCUUGAUUAUGUAAACUCUGAAAUUCUAUACUAUUUGAGAUUUGUGUGUGAUUUGUUUAAAUAAAUGUUAUUAUAUUAUUUUAAA